This is a non-coding RNA of Candidatus Atribacteria bacterium, 219 nucleotides long. NCBI's taxonomy places the organism in Bacteria, Pseudomonadati, Atribacterota, Atribacteria. The record is from Rfam.
CUAAAAGUUAUAAUAAAGAUAAGUAGGUUAUAACUAACUUAAUAUUUAACCCGGAUAAGCAAUAACCGAAAUUCACUUUAGAACUGCAGGCUGAAAUUUUAAAAAAGUAAGUUUUGCCAGCACUCCACUGUUACAAGGAGGAAAGUACGGAUUUGCUUAAUAAAAAGCAGGUCAAAAAGGGUGGUACCGCGGAAAAGGUUAAUAAUUUUCGUCCCUUUA